Molecule: long non-coding RNA, 761 nt
Organism: Eupeodes corollae
Lineage: Eukaryota; Metazoa; Arthropoda; Insecta; Diptera; Syrphidae
Exons: 3
Source: RefSeq, a predicted model, not a curated record
UUGUGCUCUCUUAAAUUUAUUUAUUUAAAAUGAAUUCUAAAUGUGAUAAAUGCUUAAAGGUUAUUGAUGAUAUUUCCUUUCUUUCGUGUGGUGUUUGUGGCAGAAGCAUACAUGCGAGUUAAGAUUCAUGAAUAACACGUACUUGUAAUUAAACUCUAGGCCCAAAAUAUGAAUAUUGUUUCCAAACCUAAAUUAGUAAUAAGCUAUAAAGUUCCAUUCUUAGAAAACAGAUUUAAAUGAAUCAUCUUGAAACCAAAUGCUCUUUGUUCAAGUCUCUUUUCCUAGAGUAUAAAUACUCCAAAUAAAUCAGAUAUGGAGUUCAGUUUUUAGUAACGAUAGCUGAUGUAUUGAUGUAUUGUUUAUAAGUGACAUAAAUAAAGUAUUAUUUUUUAAAAACUCAUUCUGGAGGUGAAGUAAAUUAAGUUGCAUUCAUUUCACAAUUUAUUGACAGAUGGCUCAACAUUUUAAAAUCGCAUACCUAAACAAACCUGUAAGCUGUUAAGUACUUUGUGUGCAGCUCUUUCUCGUUUUUUCCAACAAAUAAGUAAUGGAUAGGUUUGUUAUUAAAAAGCCAAGGACUGAGUCGGCAGUAGAAAGUUCCACAAAUGCAGAUGAGCCGUCAUCUUCAAGCAAUUGUGAUCAAAAUGUGGACCAAAAAAACACGAAGCGGAGAGAAAAUUUAGACAGGAAUGGCUACAAAAAUUCAAUUGGCUUAACCAUGAAGCUGACAAAAGCUUUUGUGCUGCUUGUGACAAAAUUUU